UACGUAGGGUGCAAGCGUUAAUCGGAAUUACUGGGCGUAAAGCGUGCGCAGGCGGUUGUGCAAGACAGAUGUGAAAUCCCCGGGCUUAACCUGGGAACUGCAUUUGUGACCGCACAGCUAGAGUGCGGCAGAGGGGGAUGGAAUUCCGCGUGUAGCAGUGAAAUGCGUAGAGAUGUGGAGGAACACCGAUGGCGAAGGCAGCCCCCUGGGUCAAGAUUGACGCUCAUGCACGAAAGCGUGGGGAGCAAACAGG
This 253-nucleotide ribosomal RNA is filed under the name uncultured bacterium. Its description in RNAcentral is "partial 16S ribosomal RNA". It matches the Rfam family "Bacterial small subunit ribosomal RNA", at positions 524 to 776 of the family's 1533-position model. The record is from RNAcentral.